Molecule: ribosomal RNA, 414 nt
Filed under: Bradybaena phaeogramma iheyaensis
Lineage: Eukaryota; Metazoa; Mollusca; Gastropoda; Stylommatophora; Camaenidae
Description: partial 16S rRNA
Source: RNAcentral
AACUAUAUGGUAUUAUAUAUAGCUAUUUCUGCUCAAUGUAAAUAUAAAUAGCCGCAGUACUCUGACUGUGCUAAGGUAGCAUAAUCAUUUGGCUUAUAAUUGAAGUCUAGUAUGAAGGAAGAUAUGGGAGUUAACUGUUUCCGAAACGUUUAUUUAAAUUAUUUAGGAGGUGAAAAUACCUCUAGCGAACUUAUUAGACGAGAAGACCCUUGAAAUUUUUAGAAUAAUUUUAAUUUGUACUUUUUGUUGGGGCGACAAAGUAGCAUGAAUAAAACCUACUAAUGUUUUAUUAGAACAAAAUUAUAAGAAUAAUUAAAUUACUCAAGGGAUAACAGCAUAAUAUUAAAAAGUUUGUGACCUCGAUGUUGGACUAGGACAAUAUAGUUUAAAAGACUAUUAUUUUUGCUCUGUUCG